UGGGGAAUAUUGCACAAUGGGCGCAAGCCUGAUGCAGCCAUGCCGCGUGUAUGAAGAAGGCCUUCGGAUUGUAAAGUACUUUCAGCGGGGAGGAAGGUGUUGAGGCUAAUAACCUCAGCAAUUGACGUUACCCGCAGAAGAAGCACCGGCUAACUCCGUACCAGCAGCCGCGGUAAUACGGAGGGUGCAAGCGUUAAUCGGAAUUACUGGGCGUAAAGCGCACGCAGGCGGUCUGUCAAGUCGGAUGUGAAAUCCCCGGGCUCAACCUGGGAACUGCAUUCGAAACUGGCAGGCUAAAGUCUUGUAGAGGGGGGUAGAAUUCCAGGUGUAGCGGUGAAAUGCGUAGAGAUCUGGAGGAAUACCGGUGGCGAAGGCGGCCCCCUGGACAAAGACUGACGCUCAGGUGCGAAAGCGUGGGGAGCAAACA
RNAcentral lists this ribosomal RNA (427 nucleotides) under uncultured bacterium. RNAcentral describes it as "partial 16S ribosomal RNA". It matches the Rfam family "Bacterial small subunit ribosomal RNA", at positions 355 to 774 of the family's 1533-position model. The record is from RNAcentral.